CACUCAAAACCAGAACUACAUUCUGAGGGAGAAGUUAAGCUUUUUCAGGCAGGUUUGUGAGUGACAGCUGUUCAUUAACAGCAUGAUGUCCUCCUCCCUCUCACGAAGAAGUGGUGGCUACAACAUUUCAGGUCUCAUUCACCCUACUGGCCAGUCAAAAAGAGAAAAAA
RNAcentral lists this long non-coding RNA (170 nucleotides) under Cyanistes caeruleus (blue tit). Its description in RNAcentral is "lncRNA (ENSCCEG00000019308.1)". Lineage: Eukaryota; Metazoa; Chordata; Aves; Passeriformes; Paridae. The record is from RNAcentral.